ACUUGAGGAAGGUAGGGGAGAAUGGAAUUCCUGGUGGAGCGGUGGAAUGCGCAGAUAUCAGGAGGAACACCAGUGGCGAAGGCGGUUCUCUGGGCCUUUCCUGACGCUGAGGAGCGAAAGCGUGGGGAGCGAACAGGCUUAGAUACCCUGGUAGUCCACGCUGUAAACGGUGGGUACUAGGUGUGGGGUCCUUCCAGGGUUCCGUGCCGUAGCUAACGCUUUAAGUACCCCGCCUGGGGAGUACGGCCGCAAGGCUAAAACUCAAAGGAAUUGACGGGGCCCCGCACAAGCGGCGGAGCAUGCGGAUUAAUUCGAUGCAACGCGUAGAACCUUACCUGGGUUUGACAUGAUCGGGAGUGCUCAGAGAUGGGUGUGCCUCUUUUGGGGUCGGUUCACAGGUGGUGCAUGGCUGUCGUCAGCUCGUGUCGUGAGAUGUUGGGUUAAGUCCCGCAACGAGCGCAACCCUUGUUCACUGUUGCCAGCACGUUAUGGUGGGGACUCAGUGGAGACCGCCGGGGUCAACUCGGAGGAAGGUGGGGAUGACGUCAAGUCAUCAUGCCCCUUAUGUCCAGGGCUUCACGCAUGCUACAAUGGCUGGUACAGAGAGUGGCGAGCCUGUGAGGGUGAGCGAAUCUCGGAAAGCCGGUCUCAGUUCGGAUUGGGGUCUGCAACUCGACCUCAUGAAGUCGGAGUCGCUAGUAAUCGCAGAUCAGCACGCUGCGGGAAUACGUUCCCGGGGCUUG
RNAcentral lists this ribosomal RNA (743 nucleotides) under uncultured Propionibacterium sp. RNAcentral describes it as "bacterial SSU rRNA". It matches the Rfam family "Bacterial small subunit ribosomal RNA", at positions 640 to 1383 of the family's 1533-position model. Lineage: Bacteria; Bacillati; Actinomycetota; Actinomycetes; Propionibacteriales; Propionibacteriaceae. The record is from RNAcentral.